This 252-nucleotide ribosomal RNA is filed under the name uncultured bacterium. RNAcentral's name for it is "partial 16S ribosomal RNA". It matches the Rfam family "Bacterial small subunit ribosomal RNA", at positions 524 to 776 of the family's 1533-position model. The record is from RNAcentral.
UACGAAGGGGCUAGCGUUGCUCGGAAUCACUGGGCGUAAAGCGCACGUAGGCGGAUCUUUAAGUCAGGGGUGAAAUCCCAAGGCUCAACCUUGGAACUGCCUUUGAUACUGGGGAUCUCGAGUCCGGAAGAGGUUGGUGGAACUGCGAGUGUAGAGGUGAAAUUCGUAGAUAUUCGCAAGAACACCGGUGGCGAAGGCGGCCAACUGGACCAUUACUGACGCUGAGGCGCGAAAGCGUGGGGAGCAAACAGG